GACGAACGCUGGCGGCGGGCUUAACACAUGCAAGUCGAACGGAAGGGCCCUGCUUUUGUGGGGUGCUCGAGUGGCGAACGGGUGAGUAACACGGGAGUAACCUGCCCUUGACUUGGGGAUAACUUCAGGAGACUGGGGCUAAUACCGGAUAGGAGCUGCUGCUGCAUGGGGGUGGUUGGAAAGUUUCGGCGGAGGGGGAUGGACUCGGGGCUUAUCAGCUUGUUGGUGGGGUAGUGGCUUACCAAGGCUUUGACGGGUAGCCGGCAUGAGAGGGUGACCGGGCACAUUGGGACUGAGAUACGGACCAGACUCCUACGGGAGGCAGCAGUGGGGAAUAUUGCACAAUGGGCGGAAGUCUGAUGCAGCAACGCCGCGUGCGGGAUGACGGCCUUCGGGUUGUAAACCGCUUUCGCCUGUGACGAAGCGUGAGUGACGGUAAUGGGUAAAGAAGCACCGGCUAACUACGUG
This 468-nucleotide ribosomal RNA is filed under the name uncultured bacterium. Its description in RNAcentral is "partial 16S ribosomal RNA". It matches the Rfam family "Bacterial small subunit ribosomal RNA", at positions 28 to 507 of the family's 1533-position model. The record is from RNAcentral.